Molecule: ribosomal RNA, 508 nt
Filed under: uncultured bacterium
Lineage: Bacteria
Description: SSU rRNA
Rfam family: Bacterial small subunit ribosomal RNA
Source: RNAcentral
AGGACGAACGCUGGCGGCGCGCUUAACACAUGCAAGUCGAGCGAGAACCAAGACCUUCGGGUCUUGGGGACAGCGGCGAACGGGUGAGUAACACGUGAGUAAUCCACCCUUGGUACCGGGAUAGCUCGGGGAAACCCGAAUUAAUACCGGAUAGCCCAUUAGCCUUUCGAGGCGAAUGGAAAAGGUAGCUUCGGCCUCCGACCAAGGACGAGCUCGCGGCGGAUUAGCUUGUUGGCGGGGUAAUGGCCCACCAAGGCGACGAUCCGUAGCUGGUCUGAGAGGACGAUCAGCCACACUGGGACUGAGACACGGCCCAGACUCCUACGGGAGGCAGCAGUGGGGAAUCUUGCGCAAUGGGCGAAAGCCUGACGCAGCGACGCCGCGUGAGGGAAGAAGGCCUUCGGGUUGUAAACCUCUUUCAGAAGGGACGAAGCCACUCGGGUUAAUAGCCCAGAGGGUGACGGUACCUUCAGAGAAGCCCGGCUAACUACGCGCCAGCAGCCGCGGU